GUCUAUACAUACCCAUGCUCCCUCACGCACCUUCUUGCAAAGAAAUAGAGAUGAGCUAGAGGGGGCCGGGGCCGGGAGAGCCAAGGGCCCGAGGGAGAUGGAGAAAGAUGUGAAGCUAUUUGCUUCUGAGUGGAAUGUUGUCUGGUUCAAGGUCUUUUGCUUUGUGAUCCAUCUGUGUAGAGCUUCUAAGUAUUCCUUGGAUCUGCAAGAUCUCGGACCAGGCUUCAUUCCCCUCAGAAAUAGCUUCAAAAAUGAUAUCGCGGAGAGUUAGGAGAGCUACUAGCUAGUGUAUAAAUUUGUUCUAGUUUUUUUUUUGAAAUAUUUGUUUGAGUGUUCGUGAGAUUCCUGGCCGUUCUUAGUAGUAUGCAUGGUGUGGAGCACCGUACUUCCGCUCCUGGAUCUUUACUACUACUCCACUGUGCUUUUUUGUUUGUUUGUUUGCUUGCUUGCUUGCUGCGAAAUCGAGGAGCAGCGCAAGAUUGGUGUAAUGAUGGCCUGCCUUUUGACCCCUCCUUUCUCUGUGCAUCUCUGUGCAUCUGGCAGGCAUGCAGCAGCAUAUGGCUUUGCUGAUAUCUGUUGCUUAUUUCUAAGUUCGAGGAUAGUUUUUGCGUGGUGCGCUGGACCUGCUGCUUCAAAGUUUUUGGAGAGCUUGGGACGAGAUCCACUAUUUAUAGGCGUGUAUUUUCUUCAUAUUAUGUUGACACCCAUGGAGGUUGAUGUAAACAACGGGAGCUCAUGCAUGCAUGUAUUCCUA
Molecule: unclassified non-coding RNA, 754 nt
Filed under: Zea mays
Lineage: Eukaryota; Viridiplantae; Streptophyta; Magnoliopsida; Poales; Poaceae
Description: misc RNA Zm00001eb220230
Rfam family: mir-166 microRNA precursor family (bases 125-238)
Source: RNAcentral